GAUGAACGCUGGCGGCGUGCCUAAUACAUGCAAGUCGAGCGAACAGACGAGGAGCUUGCUCCUCUGACGUUAGCGGCGGACGGGUGAGUAACACGUGGAUAACCUACCUAUAAGACUGGGAUAACUUCGGGAAACCGGAGCUAAUACCGGAUAAUAUAUUGAACCGCAUGGUUCAAUAGUGAAAGACGGUUUUGCUGUCACUUAUAGAUGGAUCCGCGCCGCAUUAGCUAGUUGGUAAGGUAACGGCUUACCAAGGCGACGAUGCGUAGCCGACCUGAGAGGGUGAUCGGCCACACUGGAACUGAGACACGGUCCAGACUCCUACGGGAGGCAGCAGUAGGGAAUCUUCCGCAAUGGGCGAAAGCCUGACGGAGCAACUCCGCGUGAGUGAUGAAGGUCUUCGGAUCGUAAAACUCUGUUAUUAGGGAAGAACAAAUGUGUAAGUAACUAUGCACGUCUUGACGGUACCUAAUCAGAAAGCCACGGCUAACUACGUG
This 497-nucleotide ribosomal RNA is filed under the name uncultured bacterium. Its description in RNAcentral is "partial 16S ribosomal RNA". It matches the Rfam family "Bacterial small subunit ribosomal RNA", at positions 28 to 507 of the family's 1533-position model. The record is from RNAcentral.